RNAcentral lists this ribosomal RNA (305 nucleotides) under uncultured bacterium. RNAcentral's name for it is "bacterial SSU rRNA". It matches the Rfam family "Bacterial small subunit ribosomal RNA", at positions 335 to 657 of the family's 1533-position model. The record is from RNAcentral.
UUGCCUACGGGAGGCAGCAGUAGGGAAUCUUCCACAAUGGGCGAAAGCCUGAUGGAGCAACGCCGCGUGAGUGAAGAAGUAUUUCGGUAUGUAAAGCUCUAUCAGCAGGGAAGAAAAUGACGGUACCUGAGUAAGAAGCCCCGGCUAACUACGUGCCAGCAGCCGCGGUAAUACGUAGGGGGCAAGCGUUAUCCGGAUUUACUGGGUGUAAAGGGAGCGUAGACGGCGAUGCAAGUCUGAAGUGAAAGCCCGGGGCUCAACCCCGGGACUGCUUUGGAAACUGUAUGGCUGGAGGGCUGGAGAGG